Molecule: ribosomal RNA, 254 nt
Filed under: uncultured bacterium
Lineage: Bacteria
Description: partial 16S ribosomal RNA
Rfam family: Bacterial small subunit ribosomal RNA
Source: RNAcentral
UACGUAGGGUGCGAGCGUUGUCCGGAAUUAUUGGGCGUAAAGAGCUCGCAGGCGGUCUGUCGCGUCGGUCGUGAAAACUUGGGGCUUAACCCUGAGCUUGCGGUCGAUACGGGCAUGACUGGAGUUCGGCAGGGGAGACUGGAAUUCCUGGUGUAGCGGUGAAAUGCGCAGAUAUCAGGAGGAACACCGGUGGCGAAGGCGGGUCUCUGGGCCGAUACUGACGCUGAGGAGCGAAAGCGUGGGGAGCGAACAGG